RNAcentral lists this small nuclear RNA (18 nucleotides) under Arabidopsis thaliana (thale cress). RNAcentral's name for it is "snRNA_17494". The record is from RNAcentral. Lineage: Eukaryota; Viridiplantae; Streptophyta; Magnoliopsida; Brassicales; Brassicaceae.
CAGCCUGCCCACCCUGGA